AGCAGCCGCGGUAAUUCCAGCUCCAAUAGCGUAUAUUAAAGUUGUUGCAGUUAGAAAGCUCGUAGUUGAAUUUCAGGCCUGGCUGGACGGUCCGCCCUUCGGGUGAGUACUGUCUGUGGUCGGGUCCUACCUUCUGGCGAAGCGUCAUGGCCUUAACCGGCCGUGGCGGGGAACCAGGACUUUUACUGUGAAAAAAUUAGAGUGUUCAAAGCAGGCAAUCGCUUGGAUACAUUAGCAUGGAAUAAUGGAAUAGGACAAUGGUUCUAUUUGUUGGUUUCUAGGACCGUUGUAAUGAUUAAUAGGGAUAGUUGGGGGCAUUAGUAUUCAAUUGUCAGAGGUGAAAUUCUUGGAUUUAUUGAAGACUAACUACUGCGAAAGCAUUUGCCAAGGAUGUUUUCAUUAAUCAAGAACGAAAGUUAGGGGAUCGAAGACGAUCAGAUACCGUCGUAGUCUUAACCAUAAACUAUGCCGACUAGGAAUCGGGCGAUGUUGGAAAAAUGACGC
This 504-nucleotide ribosomal RNA is filed under the name uncultured Glomeromycotina. Its description in RNAcentral is "SSU rRNA". It matches the Rfam family "Eukaryotic small subunit ribosomal RNA", at positions 569 to 1077 of the family's 1831-position model. Lineage: Eukaryota; Fungi; Glomeromycota. The record is from RNAcentral.